GGCCACGGAUUAGCAUGUCGCGUCUAUAAUGCAGUCGAACGCUUUUUCUUUCACCGGAGCUUGCUCCACCGAAAGAAAAAGAGUGGCGAACGGGUGAGUAACACGUGGGUAACCUGCCCAUCAGAAGGGGAUAACACUUGGAAACAGGUGCUAAUACCGUAUAACACUAUUUUCCGCAUGGAAGAAAGUUGAAAGGCGCUUUUGCGUCACUGAUGGAUGGACCCGCGGUGCAUUAGCUAGUUGGUGAGGUAACGGCUCACCAAGGCAACGAUGCAUAGCCGACCUGAGAGGGUGAUCGGCCACACUGGGACUGAGACACGGCCCAGACUCCUACGGGAGGCAGCAGUAGGGAAUCUUCGGCAAUGGACGAAAGUCUGACCGAGCAACGCCGCGUGAGUGAAGAAGGUUUUCGGAUCGUAAAACUCUGUUGUUAGAGAAGAACAAGGAUGAGAGUAAAAUGUUCAUCCCUUGACGGUAUCUAACCAGAAAGCCACGGCUAACUACGUGCCAGCAGCCGCGGUAAUACGUAGGUGGCAAGCGUUGUCCGGAUUUAUUGGGCGUAAAGCGAGCGCAGGCGGUUUCUUAAGUCUGAUGUGAAAGCCCCCGGCUCAACCGGGGAGGGUCAUUGGAAACUGGGAGACUUGAGUGCAGAAGAGGAGAGUGGAAUUCCAUGUGUAGCGGUGAAAUGCGUAGAUAUAUGGAGGAACACCAGUGGCGAAAGCGGCUCUCUGGUCUGUAACUGACGCUGAGGCUCGAAAGCGUGGGGAGCGAACAGGAUUAGAUACCCUGGUAGUCCACGCCGUAAACGAUGAGUGCUAAGUGUUGGAGGGUUUCCGCCCUUCAGUGCUGCAGCAAACGCAUUAAGCACUCCGCCUGGGGAGUACGACCGCAAGUUGAAACUCAAGGAUUGACGGGGCCCGCACAGCGUGGAGCAUGUGUUUAAUUCGAAGCACGCGAAGACUUACAGUCUUGACAUCCUUUGACCAUCUAGAAUAGAGCUUCCCUUCGGGCAAGUGACGGUGCAUGCUUGCUCAGCUCGGUCUGGAUG
RNAcentral lists this ribosomal RNA (1048 nucleotides) under Enterococcus casseliflavus. RNAcentral's name for it is "bacterial SSU rRNA". It matches the Rfam family "Bacterial small subunit ribosomal RNA", at positions 21 to 1071 of the family's 1533-position model. Lineage: Bacteria; Bacillati; Bacillota; Bacilli; Lactobacillales; Enterococcaceae. The record is from RNAcentral.